This 398-nucleotide ribosomal RNA is filed under the name uncultured bacterium. Its description in RNAcentral is "bacterial SSU rRNA". It matches the Rfam family "Bacterial small subunit ribosomal RNA", at positions 490 to 890 of the family's 1533-position model. The record is from RNAcentral.
GCCACGGCUAACUACGUGCCAGCAGCCGCGGUAAUACGUAGGUGGCGAGCGUUAUCCGGAUUUACUGGGUGUAAAGGGCGUGUAGACGGAUGGGUAAGUUGGCUGUUUAACCUGGGGGCUAAACCCCCAGCCUGCAACCGAAACUGCUGAUCUUGAGUACCAGAGGGGAAAGCGGAAUUCCUAGUGGAGCGGUAAAAUGCAUAGAGAUUAGGAAGAACACCGGUGGCGAAGGCGGCUUUCUGGACGACAACUGACGCUGAGGUACGAAAGCGUGGGGAGCAAACAGGAUCAGAUACCCUGGUAGUCCACGCUGUAAACGAUGAGUGCAAGGUGUUGGGGGUCAAACCUCGGUGCCGCCGUUAACACAGUAAGCACUCCGCCUGGGGAGUACGUACGCA